Molecule: RNA transcript, 593 nt
Organism: Mandrillus leucophaeus (drill)
Lineage: Eukaryota; Metazoa; Chordata; Mammalia; Primates; Cercopithecidae
Gene: IGLL1
Gene name: immunoglobulin lambda-like polypeptide 1
Exons: 3
Source: RefSeq, a predicted model, not a curated record
GUGGCUCUGGGACAGAACCCCAGGGGUAACGGCCAUGGAUGCUGGAAGGGGCCUGGCUGGGGGCAGGGACCAGAGGAUGAGGAUGGGGCCACAUGGACUGGGGUGCCCUGGGACAGCUGCUGCCAGCGAGAGACCGGGGCACCACUCUCCAGGGAGCCCACGCUGCAAGUCAGGCCACAAGGGCCUCCGACCCUGAGGGCUGAUGAGGCCAGGGACAGGCCAGCCGGGCCGUGAGGCCCCUGGUGAGCCAGGCCCCAACCUCAGGCAGCGCUGGCCCCUGCUGCUGCUGGGUCUGACGCUGGUAACCCAUGGCCUGGUGCACCCAACGGCUGCAUCGCAGAGCAGAGCCCUCGGCCCUGGAGCCCCUGGAGGAAGCAGCCGGUCCAGCCUGAGGAGCUGGUGGGGCAGGUUCCUGCUCCAGCACGGCUCCUGAACUGGCCCCAGGUGCUGGCCCCGGAGGUUUCAAUCCAAGCAUAAUUCACCGAGGCAUGUGUUUGGCAGCGGGACCCAGCUCACCGUUUUAGGUCAGCCCAAGGCCACCCCCUCAGUCACUCUGUUUCCGCCAUCUUCUGAGGAGCUGCAAGCCAACAAGG